CGCCCCUGCACACGCCGCCUGCGCCCUCCGCCGCCCGCAGGGAGCCCUCGGUGCACGCCCCGGCGCGGGAGCGGGAGCGGGAGCGGGAGCCGCAGCCGGAGCCGGAGCCGGAGCCGGAGAGCGCGCAGGGCCGCGGGCAGCGUCGACGCGCACAAGCCCCGCUCGCCCGCGAACAAACUUUUCCGCCUCCUCCCCUCGGCGCUGCGCGAAGCCCCGGCGCGGCGGGCCGGGGGGCGGGGCGGGGCCGGGGCGGGCCGGGGGGCGGGGCCGGGGCGGGGCAGGGGCGGGGCCGGGGUCGCCCCGCCCCCGGGGAGGCCGGGCUCGGAGCCCCGGCGGCCGCGCAGGGGGGAGCGGAGCCGAGCGCGGCCGCCCCGAGGGUCCCGUCCCCGCCCCCCGGGCCGCCGUCGCCGCCGCCGCCGCGUCCUGGGAAGCCGACAGCAGACGCAGCUAAGCGAGGAGGCGGGUGUGCGCGCAGCCGGGCCCGUCCUGGGGCGGCCUUCGGGGUGGGAGGCGCGGGGCGCGCGGGAGGCAAGUCCAGUGAGCGCUGCUAUCGGGGAGCCUUUGAAUUCCAAAUUAAAAAGAAAAAGAAAAUCAGACGUGAUCCUACCCUCCACAGAUGAAACAGUGGUUUCAGUGAAAGUUCUAACAUGCUUACUGGUCUUUUUUUUUUUUUGGCCAUAUAUAUCAGCUCAAGAAAUAAAAACAAUUAAAGGUGAUCGGGGCCACAGCAGAUUGGAAACCCCAGAGUUCAUCAGUGAACACCCUGCUCCUCCAGGAUCAAGCACAUCUCCUCUCUGGUUAUUUGCCUUGCAUGGAGAACUGCAUGGACCCCUGAACUGGAAGAACUGGGCUGGUGAACAGAGGACAGAUCAGGGUGGGUAUUCAGGAUUAAGAUGGUGAGCUCUGCAAGGGAAACUGGAAUGUAAAGUCUUCAUGGUAAAAAAUAAACUGGUCUUCAUGAGGAGCCUUCAAGAACAUCAUUUUUUAAGGAUUACCAAACCCAAUAUGGGUGGCCACCUAUUAAUGUGUCAGAUCCUUUCUGGGAAUUUUGGAAAUAAGAUGAAGAAUAGAGUUUGCUCUUCAGGAGACGUGAAAAUUGUUAGUGGAACAGAAUACAGAAGAUUGAUACAUACAGAAAAGUGAUACAUACAGGUGCGAAAUUUUAACCUGAUUCUGAAUAUAUAAAUAUAUGUCUUAAUCAGCAGGAGCCCAUGGUAAUAGUCAGUAAUCAUAAAUAAAAUAAAGUAAGAAGAACACUUCUAAUAUCUUAAUUUCAAAACACCUUGGUUAUUCAAGUGCCUAUUGACAUAACACUUCUGAAAAUUGGCCACUGAUUCGGAGGACUGGGACUGAGUGGGUGUUGGGUUUCUGUGUGGCAUGGGGACCAAAUGACAGAGAACUGAUACCCAGCUACCAAUUCUCUACUUUCCACUGGCAAGAGAAAUAUACAAUGACACACUUGUGGCCAGAGUGAAUGUCACUAUUAAGAGAAAGUAUAGCAUUAGCAGUAGGCUUGUACAUUAAAAAAACAAACAGACCUUUUUUUAAAGGUUCAUGGCGCUUCUCUGUAUUCUGGGUUUGUAUGGAUUCUUGUCUCUAGUAAAGAUGUCCAGUUACCUGAAAAUGGGGAAUUCAGGAAGUUGGCUUCUUGAAGACCCUUUUCGUUCUCUGAUUUUAGAAUUUAAAAUCCAUUUUCAUUCCAUUCCUAUCCCAUGUUUACUGUGUAACACCUUAUGAUUGAGAAUUUAAAACGAAAGGUUAGAAAAUGGGUUUUCAUUAGUGAUCUACAAUGAAGUGUAGUGAUUUUUGGUGAAGAGGGGAGGUAGACAUGUACAUAAUAAAAUACAGUAUCAUGCAGAAGAAAAGUAUGAUUUGGAGAGCAAAUAUACAUACUACUUGGUAGAAAUAUAAAAGAGGAAGACACUAGAGGAUGCUCUUCCAAAAAGAAGUAUUUGGAAUUGCAUCCUGGAGACCAAAUCUCUGUGCUACCAGAAUUGUGAGCCUCAUGUUUAGUUCCUAGGUAGAACCCUUAAGUAGUUCAAUCAUUUACUGAUUACAUGGGAUAGAAUAUUUCUUCAGGAGAGAAAACUGGUUGAAUUAUCUGAUUUUGCUUAAUCCUGUAAUCUCCUGGAUUUCUUCCAGAAACAGAAUUAGAUGGUAUAUUUGCCGACAUGCUUAUUCUUGCUGCCUUGUUUCCUAUUUACCUUUUCCAAGCUGAAAGUAUAUUCAAUUAAGCUAUGUUACACCAUUGAAUCAUUGGCAGUUAGGUCUUGGACGGUGCAUAGUUUGUUUUAACAACCAGUUUUUGAGGCCAGGCCAUUACACCAGGCCAGCACAGACAUGCUUCUCAUUAGCCCAUCUAUUUUAAAGGGAAACUCACUGUGUGCUGAGCUAACUGGAUGCUACUCACUGAAGUUUGUAGCAAAAUCAUCUGAAAACGGCCUGAAGGGAUCUCACUUUGGAUUUUAUUAAAGUUCAUCAAUGAUAUAUUUUGCAGAUACAUAAAAAUAGAUUAGCAAUCAUAAAAGAAUGACUCAUGUUUAUUAUUACCUUGAAGAAUAAUUGCAUAAGACUCAAAAUUAAACAUUGCUAAAACUCAGUGAAGUUGAGAACUACUUCCUCUGUCAAGCACAGCAAAAAUAGAUUUGGGGGGAGAAUGCCACAUUAUACCUAUUAGCUGAGCUAUUAUCACAUAAAAUUUUGUUGAUGAUUUUAAGGAAAUGAGAGUCAAUACGAAUCCAGAAAAAACCGAUCAUGUUACGUAAUUUUUGUCCUUUGGGGCUAAAACCACUUGCUGUAUUGUUCAUUGUCUUGCAGAAGUUGCCCAAGUAUUUAUGGACAACAAAGUUGGAUCCCCUGUAGGAAAACAAAAUAAAGAGUAAACGUCUUCUUAUCUGUUUGUAGUUAUUAUGUGCAGAGUUGUGUCCUCUCCCCAAAUUCAUAUGUUGAUGUCCUGACUUACAGUGCCUCAGACUGUGACUGUAUUUAGACAUAGGGAUUUUACAUAGAUAAGAUUAAAAUGAAGCCCUUAGGGUAGGCCCAAAGGAAGAUGACUGACCCUAAUCAAUUAAGAAGUGGGAAUUUGGAUACAGGUACAUACCCAGGGAGAUGAUAAGAAGACAUAUGGAAAAAAGAUGGCCGUCAGCAAGCCAAGGAGAGGAUCCUGGAAGGGGUCUUCCCCUCAAAGCCCUCAGAAGAAACCAGCCUGGGUGAUGUCUUGACCUCAGACUUCCAGCCUCCACAACUGUGACAGAGUAGAUUUCUGUUUUUGAAGCCGCCCAGUUUAUUCUACUUUGCUACAACAGACCUAGCAAAUGAAUACAGUAAGAAUACCUGAAAAUUAGCUUCCAUUAACCAAUCGAAUGCUCCCUGUCUUUUGAAAGCCUGUUCAGGCUCUGCCCACUGCUAAUGUUUGCAGGACCAGACGAAAGAGAACAUAUGGAGGCCCCUAUAUCCCUUAAGAAAAAUCAAAUAUUAAUUAAUUGAUCAAAUCAUUCCUUUUUAGCAAGAAUAAAAUAGAUUGUUGCAUGAUAAAGUAUUGUUUCACAGUAAUUUAAAUAUUUAACAAUUAUAAAUCUAGGUAACAAACUGUCAAAUACAAAUGUUUUAUCCUUUUGCAUCGACAUAGCUUUUAAUGAUAAUAAUUUAAAGAUAUAUUUCAGCUAUGGCUUUAAUAUAACUGGAAGUAACCAAACUGUCAGACAAAUGAAUUAAAUUAUUAUUGUACAGAUACAGAUGUUCUGUUGAUGAGCUGACGAAGUUUGGGGUAAUAAAGACCUAUGAAAUUUGUAAGUUAUAUAUUUAUUGUAUCAAAUUUAUUUUUGUCUUCAUUUCAGCAAAACCAC
RNAcentral lists this long non-coding RNA (3845 nucleotides) under Canis lupus familiaris (dog). Its description in RNAcentral is "lncRNA (ENSCAFG00000050322.1)". The record is from RNAcentral. Lineage: Eukaryota; Metazoa; Chordata; Mammalia; Carnivora; Canidae.